Molecule: ribosomal RNA, 468 nt
Filed under: uncultured bacterium
Lineage: Bacteria
Description: partial 16S ribosomal RNA
Rfam family: Bacterial small subunit ribosomal RNA
Source: RNAcentral
GACGAACGCUGGCGGCGUGCUUAACACAUGCAAGUCGAACGGAAAGGCCCUGCUUUUGUGGGGUGCUCGAGUGGCGAACGGGUGAGUAACACGUGAGUAACCUGCCCUUGACUUUGGGAUAACUUCAGGAAACUGGGGCUAAUACCGGAUAGGAGCUCCUGCUGCAUGGUGGGGGUUGGAAAGUUUCGGCGGUUGGGGAUGGACUCGCGGCUUAUCAGCUUGUUGGUGGGGUAGUGGCUUACCAAGGCUUUGACGGGUAGCCGGCCGGGGAGGGUGGCCGGCCACCUUGGGCCUGAGAUACGGCCCAGACUCCUACGGGAGGCAGCAGUGGGGAAUAUUGCACAAUGGGCGGAAGCCUGAUGCAGCAACGCCGCGUGCGGGAUGACGGCCUUCGGGUUGUAAACCGCUUUCGCCUGUGACGAAGCGUUAGUGACGGUAAUGGGUAAAGAAGCACCGGCUAACUACGUG